Molecule: unclassified non-coding RNA, 1405 nt
Filed under: Hevea brasiliensis (rubber tree)
Lineage: Eukaryota; Viridiplantae; Streptophyta; Magnoliopsida; Malpighiales; Euphorbiaceae
Source: RNAcentral
UAAAUAUGAAAACAAUAACUUUCGGUGCCAACCGCAAAGUGCGCACUAUCUUAAUCUACUGAAAUUUUCUACGCCAAAAUAAGAGCAUAAAUUCUGCGACAGCACACUGUAAUCAACUGGAAACAAGAAAAGGAUGACUUAUUGUAAAUAAAAUUAUUAAAAGCACUAUAAAAACUAAUCCCAGUUGCACCCCAAUUGAAUACUUAUGUAUAACCUAGCUUGUAUCUGCGAAAUAGAUCUUCCGUUUUGGCAUUCCUGAAGGCACAGCAACCUAUCAAAUAUACACAUAUCAAAGCAAUGAGUGUAAUGAGCAAUAUAAUAUCUGCUCUUCUCCAUUCUUUUUUCAGAUUAGCCAACAAUCCGGCCUUGCAGGAAUCACAGUUGUAGCAAAGUUGGUUUUGGUCAUUGUUCCACUUGAGGCAGUCCAUGUCUGCAGCAUUGUUUAUGGGACUAAUCCAAUACGUUGGGUUCACAAAGGUGUACCCACAUUGCGUAGGAGGCUUGCAGCAUCCUGACUGCAAGGGGGUAAUACGAGCAUUAAAGAAAUCUUGAGCCAUGCGAUAUCUUUGGUUCAACUCAGAACACAUAUCUGUUGAACUAAGGCAGCUUCUUAUUCGAUCCCACUUGUAAGAACUUUGAACCCUUCUUCGAAGCCAUCCUGAAAAAUCAUCAAAGUGAUAUUCCAAGUAGGCUCUACUGGGUGCAGGGCGACCUGAGCCCCUGACGGUAACCAUAUAGAUGAAAACCACUAAACAUGCAAGCAAUAUUAUAAGGAUGAGCAUUGCAAUUAGAUAAAAGAUGAGGAGCCAUGGAAUUCUCCAAAAAGCUCCAACAAACCCUGCCAAAGCAACUACCAAAAUCAAUAUCCCCAAAAUAAUGACAGGCCAUUGUAGAAUCUUGACACAAGAGUUGUCUGGUUCCAUCGCAAGCCAUAUCCCAGCUCCUAUUAUUGGAAUGGAGAGAAGCAUGGCAGCGAAGUUGAUCGCACCGAUAACAUUGUUGCUUAGUGCCAUUUUAGCGAGAGAAUUGUUUUGGGUUUUGUUUGUUCUUGGAGUUCAAAUAAUGACCAGGAAAAGAUAGAUGUUGAAAAAAUAGCUACAUGAUCUGAUAUGCUGCUUUAUUCAUAUGAGUGCACUCCAACUUUUAUUCCUUACCUUGGAUCCAUGACAACUCCUAAAGCAAGCUAUAACUGCAACAAUUUUUAAAGUUUAUUUUCAUCUUUAGGCCCAUUCACUUGUUGAAAAGGAGUUCCUUCCAUAUGAUAGAGAAUAUAAAGAAACAAUUACUUGUAUGCCAAUAUGCGCCAUGGACAUUGGACAAAUUAAAAGAUAUAACUGACUAUCCUACCAUUUUGGUUGCUUGCAUGCUUCUCCUUUCACAUUUUGGAAUUAGAAAUAAAUCUUGA